CCUACGGGGCGCUGCAGUGGGGAAUAUUGGACAAUGGGCGAAAGCCUGAUCCAGCCAUGCCGCGUGUGUGAAGAAGGCCUUCGGGUUGUAAAGCACUUUCAGUGGGGAAGAAAGCCUUGGGGCUAAUACCCUCGAGGAAGGACAUCACCCACAGAAGAAGCACCGGCUAACUCCGUGCCCAGCAGCCGCGGUAAUACGGAGGGUGCGAGCGUUAAUCGGAAUUACUGGGCGUAAAGCGCGCGUAGGCGGUCUGAUAAGCCGGUUGUGAAAGCCCCGGGCUCAACCUGGGAACGGCAUCCGGAACUGUCAGGCUAGAGUGCAGGAGAGGAAGGUAGAAUUCCCGGUGUAGCGGUGAAAUGCGUAGAGAUCGGGAGGAAUACCAGUGGCGAAGGCGGCCUUCUGGACUGACACUGACGCUGAGGUGCGAAAGCGUGGGUAGCAAACAGGAUUAGAUACCCUAGUAGUC
This 466-nucleotide ribosomal RNA is filed under the name Vreelandella stevensii. Its description in RNAcentral is "partial 16S ribosomal RNA". It matches the Rfam family "Bacterial small subunit ribosomal RNA", at positions 338 to 795 of the family's 1533-position model. The record is from RNAcentral. Lineage: Bacteria; Pseudomonadati; Pseudomonadota; Gammaproteobacteria; Oceanospirillales; Halomonadaceae.